Molecule: ribosomal RNA, 575 nt
Filed under: uncultured bacterium
Lineage: Bacteria
Description: bacterial SSU rRNA
Rfam family: Bacterial small subunit ribosomal RNA
Source: RNAcentral
GGGGAACGGGUGAGUAACACGUGAGCAACCUACCUUACACAGGGGGAUAGCCGUUGGAAACGACGAUUAAUACCGCAUGAGACCACAGAAUCGCAUGAUAUAGGGGUCAAAGAUUUAUCGGUGUAAGAAGGGCUCGCGUCUGAUUAGCUAGUUGGAAGGGUAAAGGCCUACCAAGGCGACGAUCAGUAGCCGGUCUGAGAGGAUGAACGGCCACAUUGGAACUGAGACACGGUCCAAACUCCUACGGGAGGCAGCAGUGGGGAAUAUUGCACAAUGGGGGGAACCCUGAUGCAGCGACGCCGCGUGAGCGAAGAAGGUUUUCGAAUCGUAAAGCUCUGUCCUAUGAGAAGAUAAUGACGGUAUCAUAGGAGGAAGCCCCGGCUAAAUACGUGCCAGCAGCCGCGGUAAUACGUAUGGGGCGAGCGUUGUCCGGAAUUAUUGGGCGUAAAGGGUACGUAGGCGGUUUUUUAAGUCAGGUGUGAAAGCGUGAGGCUUAACCUCAUUAAGCACUUGAAACUGGAAGACUUGAGUGAAGGAGAGGAAAGUGGAAUUCCUAGUGUAGCGGUGAAAUGCGU